GCCUUCUUAGUUCAGGGGCAGAACACUGGUCUUGUAAAUCAGGGGUCGUGAGUUCGAUUCUCACAGGGGGCA
This 72-nucleotide transfer RNA is filed under the name Penaeus vannamei (Pacific white shrimp). RNAcentral describes it as "Litopenaeus vannamei (Pacific white shrimp) tRNA". It matches the Rfam family "tRNA". Rfam says of the family: Transfer RNA (tRNA) molecules are approximately 80 nucleotides in length. Their secondary structure includes four short double-helical elements and three loops (D, anti-codon, and T loops). Lineage: Eukaryota; Metazoa; Arthropoda; Malacostraca; Decapoda; Penaeidae. The record is from Rfam by way of RNAcentral.